RNAcentral lists this ribosomal RNA (457 nucleotides) under uncultured Desulfobulbus sp. Its description in RNAcentral is "bacterial SSU rRNA". It matches the Rfam family "Bacterial small subunit ribosomal RNA", at positions 929 to 1382 of the family's 1533-position model. The record is from RNAcentral. Lineage: Bacteria; Pseudomonadati; Thermodesulfobacteriota; Desulfobulbia; Desulfobulbales; Desulfobulbaceae.
GCGGUGGAGCAUGUGGUUAAUUCGAUGCAACGCGAAGAACCUUACCUGGUCUUGACAUCCCGGAGACCCUUAGGAAACUAGGGGUGCUUCCAUCUGGAAGAAUCUGGAGACAGGUGCUGCAUGGCUGUCGUCAGCUCGUGUCGUGAGAUGUUGGGUUAAGUCCCGCAACGAGCGCAACCCUUGCCUUUAGUUGCCAGCAGUUCGGCUGGGCACUCUAAAGGGACUGCCGGUGUUAAACCGGAGGAAGGUGGGGAUGACGUCAAGUCCUCAUGGCCUUUAUGACCAGGGCUACACACGUACUACAAUGGCCGAUACAAAGGGCAGCGACACUGCGAGGUGAAGCCAAUCCCGUAAAAUCGGUCUCAGUCCGGAUUGGAGUCUGCAACUCGACUCCAUGAAGUUGGAAUCGCUAGUAAUCGUGGAUCAGCAUGCCACGGUGAAUACGUUCCCGGGCCUU